Molecule: ribosomal RNA, 265 nt
Filed under: uncultured prokaryote
Description: partial 16S ribosomal RNA
Rfam family: Bacterial small subunit ribosomal RNA
Source: RNAcentral
UACGGAGGAUCCGAGCGUUAUCCGGAUUUAUUGGGUUUAAAGGGUGCGUAGGCGGCCAUUUAAGUCAGCGGUGAAAUUUUGCAGCUUAACUGUAACAGUGCCGUUGAUACUGGGGAGCUAGGAUUUGGUUGCUGUGGGUGGAAUGUGUGGUGUAGCGGUGAAAUGCAUAGAUAUCACGAGGAACUCCGAUUGCGCAGGCAGCUUACUAAACUACUACUGACGCUCAGGCACGAAGGCGUGGGGAUCAAACAGGAUUAGAUACCCG